UCUAAACAGAUGGAGUUCAUUAAAUUUAAAUAUUGUCUCUUAAAGCAGUGAUGAAUUAUUGGAGUGGAGAAAUACAAAUAGAAAUAUCUCCUGUUUGAUAAUCUUUUGUCCUAGUCAAACCAUGGGGUUAAUAAAGUCAGGUCUGCAUGCUCUGCUUGCUUUCAGUCACCUGCUUUUGUUGUUGUUGUUGUUUUUCUCUGUAGCUGAGGGUUGCAGUAACUGAAGGCCUUACCACUAAACACUAAAACUUAACCUUUACUGGUGACUUAAUAAGUAACAUUCAUAGGUGACCAUGGUGAUGGUUGCUUCCAUUGUUUUUCAGAAACUUGGCCAGCUCCUGUCUAGUUCAAACUAGUUGAGACCACUGACCCUUCAACUGGGUCUGCAUGGGUGCCUGAGAGGUGGCCUUUUGAUAUCAGAGGGUCAAAAACUCCACCCUCAAGAUCAUGCUAAUGUUGCCAUUUUCUGUACAUAUGUCCUGUGAACUGUUCGUCCACCUCAUCUCUUGGUGACCUAGUGUGUAAAUCUUUUCUCUUUUGCAGAAUCUAUGUCACAGUGAUUGAUUUACUGCAUAUGAGCAGAAUGAACCUGGACCUGGCCAGUAUCAUUAAGCUGUGUUUCCCCUGAAGUUAUGUGAAAAGCAUUUGUGGAUUUAACAGAGUUAAGGGUCUCACUUCAUCACCUAGACUGGAGUACAGUAGCACAGUUGCAGCUUCCUACAUCUUGACUUCCUGGGUUCCAGUGAUCCUCCCCCUUCAGCCUCUCAGCAGAGAGAGAAAGAAAGCAGAGCUCUUUGAAGCAGAGAAAGAAAGCAGAAAGCAGAGAUCUUUGAAGGCUUAAGAAACCAUAAGGAGUUUUGGAGAGUCAAUGCAUGAUGAUCUCUGAAGAUUCUACUGAAAUCUAAUCAAUAUGUCCUCACUGCCAUCAAUUCAAAAGAACUUGCUAAGAAGGCUCUAGAGGCUUGUACUCUCAGAUAGUGAAAGUGAGAUGAUGUGUAGUGAAAGUCAUAUAUAGGUUGUAAAUUGCAAUAUGGAAUUCCCAAAUGCUGAAUUCAUUUUAUCUCUUCGGAAAUAAAAACCUGUUAAAG
Molecule: long non-coding RNA, 1087 nt
Filed under: Homo sapiens (human)
Lineage: Eukaryota; Metazoa; Chordata; Mammalia; Primates; Hominidae
Description: HSALNT0325765
Source: RNAcentral